GUCCGCACGGUAAACGAUGGAUGCCCGCUGUUGACCCACCUGGGCCAGCGGCCAAGCGAAAGCAUUAAGCAUCCCACCUGGGGAGUACGCCGGCAACGGUGAAACUCAAAGGAAUUGACGGGGCCCGCACAAGCGGAGGAACAUGUGGUUUAAUUCGAUGAUACGCGAGGACCUUACCCGGGCUUGAAUUGCAGAGGAAUUUUACCAGAGAUGGUAAAGCCCUUCGGGGUCUCUGUGAAGGUGCUGCAUGGUUGUCGU
RNAcentral lists this ribosomal RNA (258 nucleotides) under uncultured bacterium. Its description in RNAcentral is "partial 16S ribosomal RNA". It matches the Rfam family "Bacterial small subunit ribosomal RNA", at positions 793 to 1055 of the family's 1533-position model. The record is from RNAcentral.